Molecule: long non-coding RNA, 17127 nt
Organism: Cryptomeria japonica (Japanese cedar)
Lineage: Eukaryota; Viridiplantae; Streptophyta; Pinopsida; Cupressales; Cupressaceae
Exons: 5
Source: RefSeq, a predicted model, not a curated record
UCUUUGAGAGGUCAUCCCAUGCAUCUUUGCCAAUUAUCAAAUGAAACAGAGCCUCCGAGUAAAAGUUACAUUAAAAGUUAGUUUUUGACACUUAGUUGCGCACUCCCAAAACACCAGAUUGAUCAAAUAUUUUGGGAAAAGUAUUAUGGAGAUCAUGAUAAUUAAUCUAUUGGUUUUCUUCAUUUAUGCUUUAUCUUUCUAUUGCAUAAGGAAGUUGGGGUGUUUAAAUUUGAAAAAUGGCCCAAAAAAAUUGUUUGGGAGCCUAAAAAGGUGUUUAAUCACCCAUUUAAAAAAUUUAACUCAUUCAAAAUUUGCUCCUCAUUAUUAUUUUCUAACAGCAAAUUGUAUUUGAAUGAGAAAGGCUACUUGGAAUUUUAAAAAGAAGGGAAGGUAAGGGAGUGGGAAGUGAGGAGAAAGAGGCAUUCAUUUUGGGCUUUGAAAAUUAUAAAAUCCAAACACAAUGGGGUGGAAUCAAAAUAUAUACAACAUGGAGAAUAGGGGGGAAAGGAGGAGAAGUAGCAAAUUUGAAAGAGAAUAGAAAGCUGCAUGAAAUUGGGAAGAAAAUGGGGAGAAAGAGUUGAAUUGUGAGAGGCCAUGAAAGGCCAAGAAUGUCAUUUUGUGCUGCAGAUUUUGUCUGGAACGUAAAUUUGUAUUAAAGCAUGAAUUUUCCAUGGGUUCUCUUGUAAGGGUUUCCACGUAUAUCUUGUGUACUAUUUGUGAUAAAUGAUAGAUAGAUCUCAUGUGAAUGUUAAUAUGCAAUGAAUAUGCUUAUCAGAUUAAGUUAGAUGCUUAUGAUAUUAAGUUGAAAAAGUAAAAGUUUGUUGUUAUAGUGAUUCACCCCCCCACUCAAAAAAGUCGGUUCCUUCAAAAAAGUCUAACCACUUGAAGUUAGAUCAAGAGAGCACAUAUGACAAAUAAAAACGAAAAUAACAGAAAAAGAAAUACCAAGAAGGGUAUGAUAACAAAGCACCAAUACAAGUGAUGAUGAUGAAUUCCUUGAAAGAGUAAACCUAUUCUACACCUAGUGAAGAUUGGGAUUGAUAUGAUGAAAAUAAUGACGAGAAGAGUUUUGAGGAAGAACUCCAUCACACCAUAAAUAAGAUUGAAAAACCUAGGAAGAAGAACCAGAAACUAGAGCCUCCAUAUUCAAGAGAAUCUAGAGUCUAAUAAGGUGUUAGUAAGAAAUCUUGAUGAAUCCAAAAAAAAAUCAUAUUGCUAAAAGCUCAAAUUGAAGAAGACAAAAUAAUUGAAGAAGAAAUGAGAACUCAAUUGAAAGUCAAAAAAAGAAAAUGGUGAGAGAUUAUUUGAGAUUGCUUAAACUUAGAAAGAAGAACCAGAAACUAGAGCUACAUAUUCAAAAUAAUAUAGUCUAAUAAGGUGUUAGUAAGAAAUCCUGAUGAAUCCAAAAAAAAAUUAUAUUGCUAAAAGCUCAAAUUGAAGAAGGGAAAAUAAUUGAAGAAGAAAUGAGAACCCAAUUGAAAGUCAAAAAAAGAAAAUUGUGAGAGGUUAGAAGUUGAGAUUGCUUACUUAGAAGUGGGGAUUGCUUCUGUAAAUAAGGAUUUCGAAGAAACUACUUCCAAAUUAAAUACUAAUCUCAAGUUUGAAAAGAGCUCUGAAAUCCUAUAUGACAUCAUCACUGGGCAAAAGAUCACUAUCAAAUAAAACAAGACUUGACAAUGAAGGAAAUCAAACAUUCAAAAAGAUUCCAAGGAAACUCCUAUUAUGAUAAAUAUGGGAAAGACAAAAAGCCUUGAAGUCACUUUCAAAAGCCCUCUCAAGAUCGAAGAUAGCAAGAAUAUAAAGACUCCUAAAGCUAAAGAGGAAAACAUCAAGAAGUCCUUUCAUUUGAGACAAGCUUAUACAUCUGGGUUCAAGAGUCCCUUUUAUGGCUAAUAUUGCCCACUCAUGAAAUCACUUUGGACAUAAGGCAAGAGAGUGUAGAAAACAACUGAGAUACAAUGAUAGAUUGAUCAAUUAUUGAAAUCAUUAUGAGUGGACAAGUAGAAACUAUAAUUCAUAUCCUCCUCAAGUGAAUUUUAAUGUUAUAUGUUAAUUUUAUGAUUAGAUUUAGAACAAUGCAGAUAUGAGACAAUUCACACAAGUUUACACAACAUAUACCAUGGGAAAACCUUCCAACUUGAAGGUGAAACAACAUAUACCAUGGGAAAACCUUCCAACUUGAAGGUGAAAACCCUAGCAACAAAUGUCUUUUAUUAUAUUCGACAAAAUAACAAGUUGUAUUUACAAAAUAUAUUCGACAAAAUAACUAGUUGUAUUUACAAAAUUGCUUCACUACUUGAAGCUAGAUGAUUGGAAAGAAUCCACCAUAGAUGAUAUACGAUCAGCAAUGUGACUCGGACUUCCUUAGAUAAUCCACGAACUGUUGUAGAUGAUCUUUGAUCUGCAGAUAGGUGCGAACUCCUAUGAGAAUUCUACGAUCUGCUGAGUGUGUAUUCGAAUGCCAAGGGGAAGAUAAUUGAUCUCCCUUUAUACUCGUGCAAGGUGACUCUUCAUGAGGAGUCAGCUCCCUUAGGAAUAAGCAUAUCUUCAUUUAGGGUAAUGGAACAUUUCAUUAAGGGUGGCCGACUUUGCCAAAAGUCGGCCCCCUUUAUAAGUAUAUUUAUUUUUCAAACAAAUAAAGAAUCGCACCACUUGGAUAAUUAUCAAUAGACUCCAAAUAUGUAAGGCCGAAGGCCAGUUACAUAUUUCGUGGAAUCGUCCCUCAAGGAGACUCCCGCAGAUACAUACAACAACACUCCCUCUUAGCUAGGGAGGACUCCUUGCUCAUAUUAGUGUCAUGGAAUGACAUCCACCAUGGCUACUCCCAGAGGGUGGAACGAAGUUCAUAAUGGAGGCACUCAACGUGAUGACAUCCAUCAUGGCUACACCCAUGAAUGGAAAUGAAUAUGAACACAAGUGCCUAUCAUGGAGUCACUCAACGUGAUGUUGCCAUCUCAUCAUGAUGGUCACCAUGUCUACUCCCAGAGGGUGAUCAAACACAAGUGAUGUUGUCAUGGAGUCUCUCAACAUGACAUCCAACUUGGCUACUCCCAGAGGGUGGAACAGGGGCUUUCACCUCAAACUUCUCUUUCACAGAGAAAAAUGCAUUAACAAGGGCUUGCACCUCAAACUUCUCUCUCACAGAGAAAAAUGCAUUAACAAGGGCUUGCACAGAGAAGAAGAGAAGAAUGCAUUAAAGUACAUCUCAAGAAAAAUGCAUUAACAAGGGCUUGCACCUCAAACUUCUCUCUCACAGAGAAGAAGAGAAGAAUGCAUUAAAGUACAUCUCAUAAAAAAUGCAUUAACAAGGGCUUGGCUACUCCCAGAGGGUGGAACAAGGGCUUUCACCUCAAACUUCUCUUUCACAGAGAAAAAUGCAUUAACAAGGGCUUGCACCUCAAAUUUCUCUCUCACAGAGAAGAAGAGAAGAAUGCAUUAAAGUACAUCUCAAGAAAUCACUGAUGCUGAGACUCGCUCUCAGCAAGGGCUUCGUUCUCCACAACUUCAAGCUUGUCUCAAAAAUGCACAAACUUCACUCUGGCAAGAGGUUAGGUGAGAAUAUCGGUCGUCUGAUCAUUAGUGCUAAUGUACCUCAGUUGAAUAGCAUUCCUUUGCACCAUAUCUCUAAUAUAGUGAUAUUGAUCUCUACAUGCUUUGUUCUGUCAUGAAACACAAGAUUGAUAGAAAGUUUCAUGCAGCUUUGGUUAUCACAAUGAAUAACUGUAGGCUCCAACGAUUGUCCAAACAAUCCUGCAAGGAGCUUCUGAAGCCACAUUGCUUCGCGAGCUGCCAUACAUGUUGCAAUGUAUCCUACCUUUGCGGUGCUCAGUGCCACUGAAGACUGUUUCCUGCUACACCAAGAAAUCAUAGCAGAUCCCAAACUGAAGCAACAACUAGAGGUGCUCUUCUGAUCAAUAACACUCCUUGCCCAAUCAGAAUUAGAAUAGCCUUGCAGAAUCAAGUCCACACUAGAAGAAUAUUUCAAGCCAUAUCCAAUUGUGCCACUCAAGUAUCUCAAGAUAUGCUUGGCUGCAACUAGAUGUAUCUGCCUUGGUUCACACAUGAACUGACUAAGUGCACUCACUUCAUAGCAAAUAUCCAGUCUAGUGUUAACUAGAUACAUCAAAGAUCCAAUCAAUUGUCUGUACAUAGUAGGAUCCUCAAGAUCUGAACUAGCUGCAAAUUCACUCAAUUUCUUUAAGUUAGUUUCCAUCAAUGUAGACAUAGACUUGCAAUCUAACAUUCCAAAUCUCUUUAAGAUGUCAUUGGUGUAUUUUCCUUGACUUGGGAUGAUCUCAUUAGGCCUCUGCCACACUUCCAAUCCUAAGAAAAAAUGCAUAAGUCCUAGGUCCUUCAUCUCAAAUUCUGAAGUCAACUCCUUGUUGCAUCUAAAGAUGAGAUGUUCUUCUCCAGUAAGAAAUAAGUCAUCGACAUAGAGAACCAAGAUUAAAGAUUCACCAUUGACUACCUUGAAGUAAAGAUUCAGAUCAACAUCAUUCUUGCAGAACCCCAAACUGUCCAAGUAUCGGUCAAUCCUUUCAUACCAUGCACGAGGAGCCUGCUUAAGACCAUAUAAUGCUUUCUUUAAUUUGCAUACAUGAGACUCUUUCCCAUGAAUCAGGAAGCCUUCAAGUUGCUCAAUGUAGACCUCUUCUUCAAUUACACCAUUGAGAAAAGUUGUCUUCACAUCCAUUGGAAGUAUAGUGAGCAACUGGAGCAAAUCUUUCUUCAUAGUCUAUUCGUUCUUUUUGAGAGAAACCACGUGCCACAAAUCUAGCCUUGUACUUCUCAAUGCUUCCAUCAGCAACAUACUUAAUCUUGAAUAGCCAUUUGGAAGAUACAACUGAGUUUCCUUCAAGUCUAGGUACAAUAUUCCAAACAUCAUUCUUAAUAAUGGAUUGAUAUUCUUCAUCCAUAGCAUCUUUCCAUACUUGCUGAUUUGAGGCUUCCUCAACACUAGAAGGUCAAUGCAACAUAGCUAGAGAAUCUAUGUGGUCUUCUACUUUCUCUGAAUGUGCCUCUAGGAGCUGCGAACUUUUUUGCCUCCUGCAUAGUGUUCGUUGCCCAAAGAGGUUUCUUUCGAUUCACAAUAAUAUCUCUAGGCCCAUCAGUAGGAUCCAAGGGUUCAAUUGGAUCAAUGGUCUCUGUUGGUUUAGUAGACUCCCUCUGAAUCUCAGGAGUAUGAUCAAUGUCCAUGUCUUGAGGAGUCUCUUGAUCUUCAUCAUCUAUCUCCAUGCAUGAACCUUUAGAUUUUUUGAAUGCAACAUCUUCUUCAAAGGUGACAUCUCUGCUAACCUCUAUAUGCUUCUGACCUGGAAUGUAGAUUCUGUAGGCUUUAGAAGUUUCAUUGUAGCCUACAAAUAUCCCUUUCUUGCCAGAAGGAUCCAGUUUGUUCUUUUAUCUUUAGGUACAUGAACAUAUAGUGGACAGCCAAAGAUUCUCAAGUGAUUGACUUUAGGCUUCACACAUGUAAAAGCUUCUUCUGGAGUCAUAUUCUGCAGUAUCCGAUGAGGACUUCUGUUUUGAACAUAUAUUGCUGUCCUGGAUGCUUCAGCCCAAAGAAAUGUUUGAAGGUCUUGAUCAUGGAUCAUGGCUUUUGCAACUUCAACAAUGGAUUUGUUCUUUCUUUCUGCAACCCCAUUUUGUUGUGGGUUGUAAGGGACACAAAAAUCCCUCUUAAUUCCCGCCUCAAUACAGAAAUCACGAAAUCUACCAGAGGUGUAUUCACCUCCAUUAUUAGACCUUAAAACUUUAAUUCUUUUCCCAGACAAGUUUUCUACUUGGGCACUCUAUAAAUCUACCUAGGACUUCAUCAGAUUCUUUAGUCCUCAAGAAAUAAAUCCAAGUUCUCCUAGAGCAAUCAUCUAUGAAAAUUACAUAAUACAAAAAUCCACUUAGGGAUGUCAUAGACAUUGGACCACAUAAAUCAGAAUGUACAAGAUCUAAUAUUUCUUUUGACCUACUUUCAUUGUUAUGAAAUGGACUCUUAGUAUUUUUACCCAUAGCACAACCUUUACAAGUAUCGUCAUGUACAUGAGUAAGUUUAGGAAUACCUUUAACCAUCUUUUCCAAUGAUGGAAGAGCCCUGUAAUGUAGAUGGCCAAGUCUUCUAUGCCAUAGUUCGCUGGAACUCAAAGAGUCAUGUAGAAGAGCUUGAACUGGAUGAAUGGAAAGCUUGUACAAACUCUCAUGUCGAUUCUCGAUCACAUGAGUAGUCUUGAUGUUGGAGUUCUUUGGCCGUGCAAGAACUCUCCCUUCUGAAAAUGCUACUUGAUAACCUUUGUCCUCCAAGGCUGAAAUAGAUACAAGAUUCCUCUUGAUUCUUGGCACGAACAAGACAUCACUUAGAUGAAGGGGAAUGCCAGAUUCUAGAUGGAGAGAAGUGGCACCAAAUCCUUUCACGGAAUAGCAUGCAUCAUCUCCAAUGAUCACUUGAAGAUUAGUCUCUCUUUCCGCCAAAUCUGAAAUAUGUUCUCAACAGUCUGUGAUGUGACGAGAAGCUCCAUAUUCAAUCAAACAGGUGUCACUAUUCGUGGGAACAUUACUUGAUAAGGCGGAUAUGAAGAGGAAUCCAUUAGAAGUGUCUCCAACUUCCUUUUGAGUUGAGACUUAAUUAAUGUUUGCCACUUGUUGCUUUGGCCUUGUUAAACAAUCUUUAGCAUAGUGACCACACUUGUCGCAUCUAAAACAUUGAAUGUGGGAGAGAUCUUUCUUCUUCUUCUUUGAUUCGGGUGCAGAAUCUGAUCUUUGAUCUCUAUUCCUCUUGAAGUUGCCUUUUCUCCAAUUUCUUCCUUUCUUCUUAGUAGAUUGAGUGGCUAGAACACAAGUGUCUUCAUUUUGAGAGCCUAUGCCAUUUCCCCUUGCAGCCAACCUAGAUUCUUCUUGGAUGCAAGCAACACAAAGACGAUCAAACCUGGGCAACUUGGAUCUCUCACUCAUACUUUGAAUAAAUGGCUCCCAAGAAUGAGGAAGGCCAUUUAAUGCCAACAUGACAAGAUCUUUAUCCACAACUUGAUCUCCAAUGGUGCUUAGUUGAUCCCUCAGCUCAAAGAUCUUCAUGAAGAAUGAUAUGACAGUUUCUCCUUUCGCUAUCUUGACUUGAUGAAGUUGUUGCAACUUGCCUCAAUGCAAGAGCCCUACUUGUGUUGUUGAUCUCAUAUAGACCUUCCAAGGUUUUGAACAUGUCUCUUGCAGUUGUCAUUUUGGAAAUGAGAGGCACUAAGUGAUCCUUCACAGUGUCAAUCAAGAUCUUCUUCGCUUUUAUAGAAUUCUUCUUGAACUGAAGUUUUUCCGUUUGAUCUUUUGGCUCAGAUAAAUCUUUUUCUUCCACAAACUGAAGAUCAUUUUCUUCAAGUGCAAUAAGAACUCUAAACUUCCACGAAGUGAAGUUUGAAGCACCUCAAAGUCCAUCUUCGACCUUGAGACCGUUCACCAUUUUUUCGAGGCUUUGAUAUUGCUCUUUGAAGAAGAGAGAUGAAAGAGAACUUCGCUGCUAUAAGGAAAUCUGAUCAUGAUCUUCUCAAACCCGCUCUGAUACCAUGUUAAUUUUAUGAUCAGAUUUAGAACAAUGCAGAUAUGAGACAAUUCACACAAGUUUACACAGCAUAUACCUUGGGAAAACCUUCCAACUUCAAGGUGAAAAACUGAGCAACAAAUGUCUUUUAUUAUAUUCGACAAAAUAGCAAGUUGUAUUUACAAAAUUGCUUCACUAGUUGAAGCUAGAUGGUUGGAAACAAUCCAACAUAGAUGAUAUAUGAUUUGCAAUGUGAAUCGGACUUCCUUAGAUAAUCCACGAACUGCUGUAGAUGAUCUUCGAUCUGCAGAUAGGUGCGAACUCCUGUGAGAAUUCUACGAUCUGCUGAGUGUGUAUUCGAAUGCCAAGGGAAAGAUAAUUGAUCUCCCUUUAUACCCGUGCGAGGUGACUCUUCAAGAGGAGUCGACUCCCUUAGGAAUAAGACAUCUCUUCGUUUAGGGCAAUGCAACCUUUCGUUAAGGGUGGUGGACUUUGCCAACAGUCGGCCCCCUUUACAAGUAUAUUUAUUUUUCAAACAAAUAAAGAAUCGCACCACUUGGAUAAUUAUCGAUAGACUCCAAAUAUGUAAGGCCGAAGGCCAAUUACAUAUUUGGUGGAAUCCUCCCUCAAGGAGACUCCCGCAGAUACAUACGACAACAAUGUGCUACAAAUGCAAUAAAUAUGGACAUAUAGCAAGACGUUGCAGAUGCAGUUUUGUGAAACCACAUAGAGGGUACAGAUAAAGGAUACCGUGGACAAAAAAAAGGAAGACCUACUAUGGUAUGGAGAAGAAAACAAGACCAAGACAAGGAGGAGAAUAAAAAGGAUGAAUCUAUGAUUAUGCAUUAUUCACUUCAUGCACAAAUUUGAAGAAGCAUGAAUUUAGGGGGAGCUUAUUAUUGCACUAUCAUUCAACUUUGUGGAAAAGACAACUCAAAAGUGAAGACAAAAUGAGAACUAUAGCAGCAAUGGAAGGAUUUGUGACUAUGACUUGGUAAUAGCAAACUACAUAUUGCAAAGGUUACCAUAUAAUGAAGAGAAAGAGAAUCAAUGUCAAGAGGAAGAAUCAUGAAAGGAAUCUUCGAAUGAAACUUAAAACAUAAAAAGGGGAAUCCACUUCUGGAAUAGAUCAGCAACAAGGGAAAAUAAUGAAUUGGUAUCUACAUAUUCAAUAUCCUAGAUGUUGAAGGAUUGCAUACUCUUAACCCAUGCACAUGAAGAGAUUUAACAUCUUGAAGAGCCAAGAAUAAGGAGUUUUCAUUUGAAAGCAAAUUGAAGAAAAAGUUCCCAUGCAAGAGGAUAGCAAAGAGCAGAAAGACAAUCAUUUAGUUGUGACAAUUAGAAAUCUUGAAGGAGAGAAGAUUCUCACAGAGAGAUUAAAAGGACGAUCCUCAUCUAGUAGCCAUGAAUAAGAGAAGAAGAGUUGAACAUGUAUAAAAAAGUGAUGAGAUAGCUAAACAAAAUUCUUGAGUCGUGAAACUCGAAGAGAUGAUGCAAAAUUCGUUGAACUAUAGAAGAAGCAAAUCACCCAAGAAAGAGGAGUAUUAGAACAAGGGUGAGCAUUACAUAAUCUCCAAUAGGGGAAGAAGCAUAUACCGUUUGCUUUAAAUGUGAGUAUAAGAGUAGAUGUUAGACAUGAUCCAUUUGUGGAUAGAAGUUCAUAAACAUCCCUUUGGCAUUGAUUUCAAAGGGCAGAGAUAUAGAAUGGGGGGAGAGUUAAAGAGAAGAGAAAGAAUAUGUUGCCAUCAAUGAUUGUUGGAAAUAUUGAUAUUGAUGUCAAGGGCACUUGGUUGCAAUUGUUAGAUUUCAUCAUUGAUGUCAAAGGUGAGAUUGUAUUUGUAAGAUUGUUUUAAAAGUUGUCAUCAUUAUCAUUGACGACAUUGUCAAAAGUGAGAAGACGAAUGAAGAUGCCUAUAUUAAAUGUCAAAGGAGGAAUGGACAAGACUAAAAGAUAAUUAUGAAAAUGGAAGUCUUCAAAAGUGAGAAGACGAAUGAAGAUGGCUAUAUUUAAUGUCAAAGGAAGAAUGGACAAGACUAAAAGAUAAUUAUGAAACGGAAGUCUUCAAAAAAAGAUGAAGAUAGCCAACUAGUAUGAAACAUCAUUAAAAAGAAGAAGCAAUUCAUGUAGUGAGAAGCGAACUAGUAUGGAACAUCAUUAAAAAGAAGAAGCAAUUCAUGUCGUGAGAAGCAAACUAGUAUGGAACAUCAUUAAAAAGAAGAAGCAAUUCAUGUAGUGAGAAGCAAACUAGUAUGGAACAUCAUUAAAAAGAAGAAGCAAUUCAUGUAGUGAGAAGCGCCCAAGUACAAGCAACGAACUCGCAAAAGUCAGCAAAUAGAAGCAAUGAUCAAGAAAGUGAUACACAACAAAUGAAAGCGCAUCAAUCAUUAUUGAUAUGUCAAAGAAAACAGACAGCAAUCACAUUAAUGCAAUGGAAGAAAGCGUCAAGGAGAAGAUCAACUCCAAAACAUGGGUGCGCUUAAGUAUUGAAAUGAUAGUAAAUGUUUAUGAUAUGAACAAUAUUUGUUUGUUUGAUUAAUAAAGACAUUUAUAAAGUAUAGAUGGUCCGAUUCUCUCAAGAAAAUAUAUGCAAAAAGCAGCGAUGACAUAUUAAAGAUCAAGGCAACGUUGAUGAGUAGAGAUAAAUUGAAGAUUAGCAAUUAUAUGAAUAAAGAUAUGCGCUUUGACUUGGGCAAUAAAAAGUUAUAAGCAAAGAACAAUGUAAAAGUGGCAAUUUGUUCAUAUGGCAAAUGAAAUGAUCAUUAAAUAGCAGUAAAUACAUAAAUCUAAAAAGGCAGUGACUGUAUUUUUAAAGGCAGCAAAUGAAGUUAUGUUUGACCAACAUUGUGAUAUGAGCAGCGAUUACACAAAUCACAGCGGCUAUUGAAGGAUCAAAUGGUGAGAUUAUUAAAGGAUCAAAUGAUGCAAUUUUGAUUUAAAUAUGUUGGUUGAUUCCAUAGCAACAGUACACAACAAUGUUUAUAAGACAAUGAUUAAUAACAAGUUUGAAAAGCGGCGAUUAAGAAAAGUGUUGAGGAGAUGCGAUUCAGUUUGUAUCUGCUUAAGAAGAGUUAAAUAGCAGCAACCUGUCAUUGCUUAAUAUUCAUUAAGUGGUUGUACCAAAAGGGGCGCCCAAGAUUAAUAAGGCAGUGCUUAAUAUAUGAGAGCACUUAAAUGGCAUACAACUAAAAUGUUAAUUAAUAUACAGGUGCGAUUUGUUUCUAAGAGACAUAACCUUUUGAAAGGUUAUCUAUUCAAAUCAUCCUUCUGAUAAGUAUAUAAAGAGGUUCCGUGAAGAAUGAUAAAUUAUGUGAAGUGUGUGUGUGUGUGCAAGUAUUGAGUGAAAAGAUAAAUAUAACACACAAGCAGAUCUGAAGAAAAAGAAAAUAUAUAUGAACAGAUCUAUGGAAGAGAUGAGUAUUACUUUGUGAAAAGAAUAAUAAAGGGAUGUUCAUAUGCAGAUUUAAAGACAAUGUGCAGCAGAAUUAGAACAGACAUAUAAGCCACUUUUGAGCAGAGGUGUUAUGAGCAUAAUUAGAGAGGAAGUAUGAGCAGACUUGUGAAAGCAUUCAUGGCAGAUUUAUGAUCAGGUUAUGGGCAGAUGUGAGGAAGAUUAUGACAGUUUGAAGAAGAGAGUUAUAGCUAUUGUGAAUACAACUUGAAUGAGGGUUUGGUGCCUCCAGAUGAAUGAGGGGUUGGUGCCUACAGACUUUGUAAAAGAAGAAUUUAUAUAAAAGCAUUAAUUUGUUGUGGUUUUCUCCUAUAAGGGAUUCCACACAUAUCUUGUGUACUGUUUGUGUUACAUGAUAGUUAGAUUUCAUGUGUUUGUGUUAUAUGAUAGUUAGAUUUCAUGUGAAUGUUAAUAUGCAACGAAUAUGUUUGAGAUUAAUUUAGAUGCGUAUGUAAGUUGAAAAAGUAAAAGUUUGUUGUUAUACUUAUUCAUCCCCUCUCUCAGUAUAACUGUAUGCUCAUCAAACCUUUCAUAUUUUUUGUUCCUAUAAGAAUUCUCAAUGGUUCUUGUUCCCACUAGAGGCUUUGACGUAGUAGUUCAAACAUAUAUAAAGCAUCAAAAAGUUCUUAAUAGUUCAAAAACCUUUGACAAAGAGAAUGUUCCUUGUUUUUAGUUUUGACUAAAACCUCGAUAAAGGGCAAUAAGUGCUUGGUUUCCAAUGUGAUAGGAAUUCUCGACAGAUGGGAAAUAAAGAUUAACAUGGAGAUAAUUCCUAAUAGAUUAGGAAUUGCCCACAAGUUGUAUAGGAAUUCUCGAGUGAAAGGAACUAGAUUCUAUUUUUAGCAAAGUCUCCAACAGAUUGGAAAGAGUGAUUAUUAAAUUAGAGAACAGAUUGGAAAGAGGAAUUAUUAUAUUAGAGGUAGCCUGAAGUUGCAGACAGUUUUUGAGGGGUAUUAAAGCAUUGACCAAUACCUCAAAUACUUUUUCAAGUGUUCAAGGACUCGUUAAAAGAUGACACAUGCCAAAUGAGGAUUAAUGACUUAGUGGCUAAACUUCUUUUUUUUUUUCAGAUAGUCAAACUUUCAUAUGUGGGAAGAAUUUAAAGGGGAAAAGCGAUUUGAUUAGGCUUGGAAAUGUUUGGAAGAAUAGUUUGGCAAUGAGAUGAUCCAAAGUUCAUUGAAUUGGUUUGAAUAAUUUCAGAGAUUGGAGUAUAUAGGUUGAGAAAAUUUUGAACAAGUAAUGUUUCAGAUAAUAAUUGAGUUGAACUAUAUUGUAUUCCUAAUCAUUUUAAUGCAAUGUGACAUAUGAAUAAGAAAACUUUUUUUGUUGUAGCUAUGUGAUUGGGCUACUUGAUAGUAAACCUAGAUGUUGACUAUAUUAGGUGGUAUUGGAGCAGGUUUUUUGUUGGGAGUUGGUAGGAGAAUAGAGAAGUGGAGUGGUGAUAGAGCUAUUGUAGAUUUGAGGAGUCUUGCAAUAGAAGAGGGCUAAUAGAGACAAUCAAACUUAUGAAGGUAAGUUUUCUUUAAACAAUGUGUAGAUACAUUGACAAAGAUAGUAUUUUGAGUUGUGAAAAAUUAAGGAAAAUGCCCUUGAGAAGAAGUCCUAGAAACAACUUCAGGUCUAUGGAGAAAUAUAGACAAUGCAAAUGAGCAUACAAGUGAUAAAGAGAGUGAAGUUGAUGAGUGUGAUAGAGAAAAUGAACAACCAUUAGAUGAAGGAGAAAAUUGAUUCUUGAAAGCUCUUGCCACUUGGAUUUGUAAGGGUAAUGGAAUAGAAGCCCCAAAUUUUUCUUGAGCAUCUAACCAUGAAGAGCUGAUAGAUUGGGUAGGUGUGUUGGAAGGCCAUUUUAAUAUGGAAGAAAUUUAUGACCCAUCGAGAGUAAAUUUGGCAUAGACAAAACUCAAAGGACAUGUUGCACUUUGGUGGAGGAAUCGCAUUUAGGGGCUGAUAUUAGGCUCUAAUACCAUGUAGAAGUUAAUGAUCAACUACAAGAGACAAGAAUCAUCUGCAAACAAACAUCUAUCACACAAAAGAUAUCAAGCAAAGAUUGUAUGCUAUAUAACAACCAAAGAAUUUUGUAUUAUUGCACAAAGAGUGAUUGAAGAUAUAAUAUUGGAGGUACAAUUACAAUGAAUGAAUGAACAAACCCUUAUAAAGGAUGAAUGAAACCUUAGGUGCAAACCCUAAUGUUAAAAUUAGAACUAAAGCAAUGCAAAUUAGGAGCUAAAUUAAGUUUAACUACAUCUAGAACUAAAACUAGAAAAAGCAAACUCUAGAUAAUAAAAGGCACCUAAGUUUAGCUUGUUUGAAAAACCAAUUAAAAUACCUAAUUAAUAAAUAAUUAGAUAGUUGCCCUAAAAUUUCUCCACCCCCUCUUAAAACCCCCACUUGAGAUUAACGUAGGGAUAAAAGGAUAAAAGGAGAAAAACCACAUGGGAAAAACUCUCUCCAAAAGUGUGAGAUGCAAUGAAAUGAGAAAGAUACUACAUGUGACUAAGAUGAAAGACUCCCAAGUGGCUCCCCAAGUACAAAAUCAGUCAAGAGAGAAAAUGAGGAUAAAAAUCCUCCCAAUGAAGAAGUAGCUCUUGUGCCAAUGAUGAAUGCCUAAAGACAAAACAUAAAUAAUUGCUUGCAAACAACAUUACUCUACUUCAAAAGAAACCAAUCCAUUGGAAAGAGGAGAAGCCACUCCCAUAAACUGGAAGAUAUAGGAAUCCAAAUCCAAAGUUUAUGUGCCUCUGGAAACUGCUCAAAUGCUGCCAUGUCUAUGAUAGAUAAUAAUGGCACAAACCAAUCAAGUACAUGCCCAAUCAAAGUAGGAGGUGACAAAUUAGAACUCUGCAAAUGCUGAUGAAGAUCAAGAUUCAUAGGCGAUAAAGAUAAGCUGCCAAAAUUGAUGUGGCUAUCAGCAAAGUGGGGAUGAAGGUCCUCAAAAUAAUCCUCCAAAUCUGCAAUAUGAGACUCCACAAACAAGGAUAAUAUGUCUACAAGAUACGAAUCCCAAGGAGCUAUGUUUGGAAGGAUAAUGUCAUGUUGCACUGACAAGACCUUUGAUAUACUCAAGCUCCUCUGUAGUAUCAUUAUCAAAGGGUAUGGAAGUACUGAUUCACCCCUCCCCUCUUAGUACAUUAGCUUUCCAUAUUGGGCCUAACAUUUGUUAGAUGCCUCUGCUUGUCCAUUACCUUGAGGGUAAUAUACUGAUGACCAAUGUUGUUUUAUUUUGAAUUUCUCACAGAGUUCGUUUAGAUCUUUGUUCUUGAACUGUCCUACAUUGUCAGUUAUAAUAGAUGAAGGUAUACCAUACCUGCAAAUGAUAUAAUUAAGAAUAGAUAGAGCUACUUGUUUGCCAGUUGCCUUGAUGAGCGGAACCUCUUCUACCCACAAGGACACUUAAUGUCCAAUAUAGCAUACAUAGUGUCAAAAUCAACACUAGAACCAAUCACACCUACAACAUGGUCAGUGAAAUUACCCCAAGCUGAUUUGGUCAGUGAAAUUACCCCAAGCUGAUUUACCUCCUGGAGUUACUAGUUCAGGUAUGAGUCCAUACAAAUAAGGCAACUUAUCUAGCCACCUAAGAUGUGUUAGAAUGUUGUGUUGCCAAGACUCAUGAUUGCACUUAGCCAAGCGAGCAAGUUAAGGACUAACAAAAAAACAAUUGAGAUAAAUGGUUGUUGAUUUAUUUUAAAUGUGAACAAGGUUAAGUUUUAGACAAUCAUUGUUGUAUUAUGACAUAGUUAAAAUAAAUAAUAAAAGACAAUGUACAUACUACCAUCUAACAUCAUUUUUUUUAGCAUUACAAAUAUAGAGCAAAACAAAAGAAUGUGUUGUUCAAACUCAUAUUAUUGAGAUCUAUUUGAUUUAGACACAUGAUGCUUGUAUAUAUUAUAGUGAUUUUAUUAAAUUUGAAGAAGGUUAGGUUGUAGACAAUCAUUGCUGUAUUAUAUUAUAAAAUAUAAAGUAAAAUAAAAUGAUGUAUGCAUUGUUGAAAACUUAUUUUGAGAUGUAUUUGAGUUACACACAUGAUGCUUGUAGAUGUUACUGUGAUUUUUCUUAUUGUGAACAAGGUUAAAUUUUUAGAUAAUCAUUUUUGUAUUAACAGUGUACAUACUACCAUCUAACAUUAUUUUUUAAAUAUCAUAAAAUAUAAAGUAAAAUAAAAUGAUGUAUGCAUUGUUGAAACUUAUUUUGAGAUGUAUUUGAGUUACACACAUGAUUCUCAUAGAUGUUAUGGUGAUUUAUUUUUAAUGUGAACAAGGUUUGAAUUUUUAAACAAUCAUUGUUGUAUUAUGAUAUUGUUAACGUACGUAAUAGAAGACUGUGUACAUACUACCAUCUAACAUUUUUUUUUAUGAUAUUAUAAAAUAUAAAGUGAAAUAAAGGAUCAAUGCAUUGUUGAAACUUAUUUUGAGAUAUCUUAAGUUACACACAAUUUUCAUGAAUGUUAUGGGAAUUUAUUUUUAACAUGCACAAGGUUAAUUUUUAAACAAUCAUUGUUGUAUUAUGACAUUGUUAACAUAAGUGGUAGAAGAUUGUGUACAUUGUUGAAGUCUUAUUUUGAGAUGUAUUUGAGUUACACACAUGAUGUUCAUAGAUGUUAUGGUGAUUUAUUUUAAAUGUGAACAAGGUUAAUUUUUAGAGAAUCAUUGUUAUAUUAUGACAUUGUUCACAUACGUAAUAGAAGACAGUGUACAUACUACCAUCUAACAUUAUUUUUUGGUAUUACAAAACUUAAAGAAAAAUAAAAUAAUUCGUACAUUGCUUGAAACUCAUAUUCAUAUUUAUUUGAUUUAUAGAAGAUGCUCAUAAAUUUUAUAGAAUGAUCUUAAAUUACUUCCUUUACUUCACAAGUAAUUUAUAUGUUUACUAUGCAAUUUUAUAAUAUUGAAUUUGAUGCUAAUUAUGAUAUUAAUGUAAAUUAUUUUGCCAUUGAAAGUAACUUAUUGUAUGAUAUCACUAUUUCACAUAUUAACCCUUUUUUUGGAUUAUUAUAUAUCUUAAUCAAUUGUGGAAUGACAAUGGUUAUGUUAGGAAAUGAAGUAAUUUUUUUAAUUCUAUGCAUUAAGUAGAAAUUAUUUUACUAAUUAAUUUAAAUUCAAAUAAUGGUGAGAAAUGAUGUUGAAACUAAUUUUAGACCAAUGAAUCUUACUAAUGCAUUUUUGUGUCGCUUGAUGAGGAUGCAAUUGUGAGUGGAGCACGUACGUCAUGAAGUCUUCAAAAUAGCUUUAAGGGGAUACAAUUGUGAGUGGAGCACGUACUUCAUGAAGUCUUCAAAUAGCUCUAAGGGGAGUGAUAACUAAACUUCUAAAUCAAGUGGAGGGAACGCUAACUGGCCUUCAAGAAAGUAUAAGUGUGGUUAACUAAGUUGCAGCAUUAUGCUCCUGGUGUGCUAGUUCUUUUGGUUGGAAGAAAAUUAGGCUGAUCUCUCCAAGGAUGAGCAUUAUUUAUCUGACCAUCGUGGUUCAGUCCCUGUAACAACUGCAGAAAUCUCCCCAAGGAUCAACAUUAUUUAUCUGACCAUCCUGGUUCAGUCCCUAUAACAACUGUAGAAGAAUUUGGUCCGUGUUCACUGAUAGUUCAGCCAAUCACCAAAGCCAUCAGCUACAAAACACAAGAGGGACAGCAGAGGGUUAUCCUGUACUAGGUAUUUUUUAUGUCGCUGUGUGUGCAGCCCAAACUUGAGCUAGAAAAAUAGAUAUUUUUGAACAUUGAAUAUGUGUUCUCUUCAAAUAUAACCAUGCUAAGUCUCUUUUUGUGGGUUUUGGAGAAUAUUAUGCAAGAUAUUCUAAGGCAAAGGUUAUAGGAACAGAUAGGUUGUCUUCAACACCUAUAGCAAUGGCAACAACUAGUCUUGUGAAAUUGGUGACAACAUCCAGUAUGGCAACAAUAAAGCUUGCAUACCAGCUUUUUUUGUAAUACAUAAUUUAAUGGUUAUAUCAAUCGCCUGUUUGCAGACCAGCCUUUUUUGUAAGGUUAUAGCAAUGGUUCACAUAUGUAUCUGAAACUUCUUGAUGGUUAUUAUUGUGAGUUUAUUAUUACUGCCCAAUCUGAAACUUCUUGAUGGUUUAAUCAUAAUGACGCCUGACGAAGGCAUUCAACUUAUUGAAAUGUAAAACUUACUACGCCAUGUAUCAAUAGUUUGUCAAGAAACGCUUGCAAAUUUUUUUA